UGGAUUCCUCUUGUCCUGGGGUGAUAUGGAGGCCUGAAGUAGAAAGGGAGAAAAGAUAGGAAAUUAAAAACAAAGCAGUCCAAACAAACAAAAACCACAGAGUGCCAUUCUCUUCCCCAUCACGUGAAUCUAGCUACAAAGGAAAGGAUGAAGCUUCUCAGUGAGCAACCGGAAGCAAAGCAGGGACUCCUGAAGGAGACCAGGUCUUUGGAGGACCAAAGCCACCCCAGAGCCCCACUCACGGAAUGAACAACAGCCAGGAUAGAUUCUGUGGCUAAACUCCUGCCUUUCCAGUGAAAAUUCUUGCAUAACUGAACAAGUUCCACGUUGUAGUAAAGGACACGAAGCGUUGAUGCUACUGUGCCAGAAAUUCUUGGAUACUUCCUUGGAGCUCCUGGGGCCUGGAUUUGACUCAUGGAAGAUUUUCGCUUCUCCAUGUAGCGUCAAAGCCGCCACUAGAGAGAACACUCAGUAUUGAUGCAAUUCACUUCAGUGGCAAACCAAGACAGAACAUGCUAUUCAUGAGGCUGAAUCGCCCAGGGAGGCAAAGGAACGAUGAGAGUCUGAUGACUAAGGGUAGAUAACUGCUCUUUCAGAAUCAGACAGUGGGGAAAGCUUCUUUAGAAGGGGUCACAUCCCCGCCACAGUUAGAAGACUCAACACCCUACUUGGCUGCCUGCCUUCUGCAUUGAUGGAGCCCUCUGCACAAAUUCAACUGGAUCUGUUCUCAGAAGCUCACAUUUCCUCUCUGCCGGGGAUACUGUUUAGCUCUUGAUGGGAAUUCUGUCUGUAUCAGCAUCACUGUUCAAAAUCCACCACAAAAUCAAAAGGGAAGAAGCAUCCCUUUUGGAGUGUUCUGUAUCAGGACUCAGCAGGUCCUUCCCUCCUGGGAAUUGCAUCCACAGACAGCAGUCCCCUUGGCCCCCCGUGGUCCUCAUCAAAGCCAGACUCGAGAAUGAAGAGAUGCACUGGAUCGAGUCUAUCUCGUGUUGGAGUCACUGACUCUAAGUUCUGAUGCAGUCACAGGGCAGAGCCAUUUAGCACUGAGGAGGCAGAAAUGAAAGAGCUUGCGGUUCAAAUACAUGGGACUUUCUAGCAUGCAGGCUGUAAGUGGAUCCAAUACUUUAUGUGUGGACCACCGAGGGGACAGACAG
RNAcentral lists this long non-coding RNA (1154 nucleotides) under Cricetulus griseus (Chinese hamster). RNAcentral's name for it is "lncRNA (ENSCGRG00015035827.1)". The record is from RNAcentral. Lineage: Eukaryota; Metazoa; Chordata; Mammalia; Rodentia; Cricetidae.